RNAcentral lists this ribosomal RNA (319 nucleotides) under uncultured cyanobacterium. RNAcentral's name for it is "bacterial SSU rRNA". It matches the Rfam family "Bacterial small subunit ribosomal RNA", at positions 382 to 714 of the family's 1533-position model. Lineage: Bacteria; Bacillati; Cyanobacteriota. The record is from RNAcentral.
CCCGACGGAGCAAUACCGCGUGAGGGAGGAAGGUUCUUGGAUUGUAAACCUCUUUUUUAGGGGRAUAAAAAAAUGAAGGUACCCUAGGAAUAAGCAUCGGCUAACUCCGUGCCAGCAGCCGCGGUAAUACGGAGGAKGCAAGCGUUAUCCGGAAUUAUUGGGCGUAAAGAGUCCGUAGGUGGAARUUCAAGUCUGUCGUUAAAGAAUGGAGCUUAACUCCAUAGAGGCGGUGGAAACUGAACAACUAGAGUGCGGUAGGGGUARCGGGAAUUCCCAGUGUAGCGGUGAAAUGCGUAGAUAUUUGGGAAGAACAUCGGUG